This 75-nucleotide transfer RNA is filed under the name Methylobacterium bullatum. RNAcentral describes it as "tRNA-Glu". It matches the Rfam family "tRNA". Rfam says of the family: Transfer RNA (tRNA) molecules are approximately 80 nucleotides in length. Their secondary structure includes four short double-helical elements and three loops (D, anti-codon, and T loops). RNAcentral also lists the same sequence under 7 other names. Lineage: Bacteria; Pseudomonadati; Pseudomonadota; Alphaproteobacteria; Hyphomicrobiales; Methylobacteriaceae. The record is from RNAcentral.
GCGCCCUUCGUCUAUCGGUUAGGACGUCAGCCUUUCACGCUGAAAAGGCGGGUUCGACUCCCGCAGGGCGCGCCA